GCAUUCUAGAUACACUUUCCAGUACAUCUACUAUGUUACGACUUAUCUUAUCUUAAUAAUAAGAGUGACGGGCGAUGUGUGCAUAUUUUAGAGCCAAAGUCAAAUCAACUAUCUUCAUAAAUUUACUUCCAAAUCCACCUUCAGUAAAAAUUUUCACCCUAUAAAUCCGUCUAAAUUUAUUUAUUGUAACCCAUCUCUACUUAAACAUAAGCUACACCUUGAUCUGAUAUAUCUUUUAAUUCAAACACUUGAAAAUGAUCUUUCUUAUAAAAUUUUCUUAUAACGACGGUAUAUAAACUGUUUAACAAGCUUAAGUAAGGUCCAACGUGGAUUAUCGAUUAAAGGACAGGUUCCUCUGAAUAGACUAAAAUACCGCCAAAUUUUUUAAGUUUCAAGAACAUAACUACUACUACCUCAGCUUCAUAAUCUACACUUCAAAUAAUAGGGUAUCUAAUCCUAGUUUAUAUUUGAAAUUUCCAAGCCUCAACACCUCUUAAAUAAAAGCUACAUAUAUUUAAAAUUUCACCUAAAAAAUCUAUAUUAACUUUCACUUCCACAAUCUAACUCAAACUAACAAAAUUUACUUGCAUCAUUCGUAUAACCGCGGCUGCUGGCACAAAUUUUGCCGAUACUACUCAAUAUUACUAUAUCUAAAUUUCUUUAACUAAUAAUACCAAUUACUGCGAAUAUAAUUAAUACAUCAACUUUUAAAAUUAACAUAAACUCUCACAAAAAUUUACAUAUAAAUUAAAUUGACAGUAAAUUUUUAAGCUAAAAUAAAACUUUCU
RNAcentral lists this ribosomal RNA (788 nucleotides) under Gyrostigma rhinocerontis. Its description in RNAcentral is "12S ribosomal RNA". Lineage: Eukaryota; Metazoa; Arthropoda; Insecta; Diptera; Oestridae. The record is from RNAcentral.